CUCCAAGUUGAUUCUUUAUGUUUUUUGCAUUCAUUAAUUAAUCAAGUUCAUCUUAAGCGAAAUAUUUGCGCUGAAGCCUACUUAAACAAAAAUGCAAAAUCGGAUAAAUUAGUACCUAUUCUGAAAAGCAGUUUGCUAAUUGAUUGUGUAUUUUUCUGUCAUACACCUUCAGUCGUUCUGCAUAAAAAAUCGUACACAUGAAUAGGAAGGAACCUUGACGUGGUUCAUGUGCUUUAAACAAAUACCUUCCAGACAGAUACAUUCUCACCCGUUGUACUGUGAGGGAUAAAUGUUGACAUUGAGUACAUUGUAGGUAUCAAGAAUAGCUAGUAUAGGUAUAAUUUUUUAUUAAAUUUUGCAUAUGUUUCAUGUAAAAGAUAAUGACUAGAAUCUAGUUUAUAUUUAUAAAAAAAAAUCCAAAACAAUAGUUUGGGAGGGAGCGAUUUUAAGUUAAUUUUUGCUUGAAUUUCAGACUUAUAUUGUCUUAACCAGUUUAGCAUUAAAUUUUUUUUUUUUUUUGAAAUUGCGUGGUUAUUUUUAUAAAAGGCUGCAAACACCGAGUCUUAAUCACAAAAAAAAAAUUCCAAAUGGGGUGAGUCCAUAGGGGGAGCUAUUGGGAGAAGUCAUAGAGGGAGCCCCCCUGGUGUCAAAUAAAAACCUUUUGAAAAUAUAAAUCCGAUUUAUUGGGGAGUUCACAAUUAGUAAUUGGGGGAAGGGGGCUGCUUAUUUGGUAUCUGAGAGUACCACUGUCUGGGAUGGAUUGUGUUAUAACAAUCGUGGCUCAGUGGUUAGAGCAUUGGAUUUGUAAUCUAAGUGUUGCGAGUUAGAUCUCUACUCGAAGCACAUAAAGUUAUCGUUAAGGUUGGAAACGGAGAGCCAACUUAUAAAUGCUAUUGUCUUUGUGGCGGUGCUCUGUGACAAGAACAUUAGGACUUCUUAGAGCACCUAAAUAACAAAAAAAAAAAAAAAAGGGGUGGGGGGCGGUUAUAUUAAAAAAAAAAUCGCCAAAGGAAAAAUAAAUCCUAGAUCCGCCCCUGAAUUGUAUUAUUUUCCAGACAUUUUAUGCGUAAACUAUAUCCCAAUCGGCCAAAUUUCAAGGAAAUUGUUUAAAUUUUUUUUAAUUUCCAGACUUUUUAUGCUUAAACUUAACCCAAUCGGCCAAAUAUGUCUAGUUUUCUUGAUUUUCUGAUCAGAUCGCCUCAGAUCAGGCGGCCAAAUUUUAACUAAAUUGGGGUAAAUUUUCGAUUUUCCAGAUUGCCUUAGAUUAGGCAAAAAAAAAUUUUGCCUAAUGCAUAAAAAAGCCAUUUUGACAAUCAUUAUAUUUAACACUUUCGCUCAUUUUUGCGGUUUCAAAUCCGAAACCGUGAAAAAAAUCCUAAUGAAAUUUUGACUUUAAAAAAAUGUAAAGUAAGAUACACCUUAUUUAUAAUAUAAUAUUUCUCUUUAGGCGGCCGCCUAAUCUGCAGUACUGUAGAUCCGCCACUGGAUGUUACCUAUAUUUGAACUCUAAUCUUCAUAAAAUUAAUCCAUUCGACCAAUUUAUGGAAGUUAAGAAGAUUGAACUAAAACAAAGUAUCAUUUAAUAAUACUUUAUUAAGUCCCAUCUCCUUUUUUUUUGUACCAACGUUAUUGUAACAUAAAUACAGGGUGUAAACUAGCCCUGUGGCGCCCCGUCAAACGCGGUUUUCCCAAAUGCUCAUAAAAUUAAAAUUCCCAAUUUAAAGAUGAAAAAAUCCCAUUCUCCAAAUAAA
Non-coding RNA from Hydra vulgaris (swiftwater hydra), 1751 nucleotides. The record is from RefSeq and is a predicted model, not a curated record. NCBI's taxonomy places the organism in Eukaryota, Metazoa, Cnidaria, Hydrozoa, Anthoathecata, Hydridae.